UUUGGUUAAGUUAGAAAGGGCGCACGGUGGAUGCCUUGACACUAGGAGUCGAUGAAGGACGGGACUAACGCCGAUAUGCUUCGGGGAGCUGUAAGUAAGCUUUGAUCCGAAGAUUUCCGAAUGGGGAAACCCACCAUACGUAAUGGUAUGGUAUCCUUAUCUGAAUACAUAGGGUAAGGAAGACAGACCCAGGGAACUGAAACAUCUAAGUACCUGGAGGAAGAGAAAGCAAAUGCGAUUUCCUGAGUAGCGGCGAGCGAAACGGAACAUAGCCCAAACCAAGAGGCUUGCCUCUUGGGGUUGUAGGACAUUCUAUACGGAGUUACAAAGGAACGAGGUAGACGAAGCGACCUGGAAAGGUCCGUCGUAGAGGGUAACAACCCCGUAGUCGAAACUUCGUUCUCUCUUGAAUGUAUCCUGAGUACGGCGGAACACGUGAAAUUCCGUCGGAAUCCGGGAGGACCAUCUCCCAAGGCUAAAUACUCCCUAGUGAUCGAUAGUGAACCAGUACCGUGAGGGAAAGGUGAAAAGCACCCCGGAAGGGGAGUGAAAGAGAUCCUGAAACCGUGUGCCUACAAAUAGUCAGAGCCCGUUAACGGGUGAUGGCGUGCCUUUUGUAGAAUGAACCGGCGAGUUACGAUCCCGUGCGAGGUUAAGCUGAAGAGGCGGAGCCGUAGCGAAAGCGAGUCUGAAUAGGGCGUUUAGUACGUGGUCGUAGACCCGAAACCAGGUGAUCUACCCAUGUCCAGGGUGAAGUUCAGGUAACACUGAAUGGAGGCCCGAACCCACGCACGUUGAAAAGUGCGGGGAUGAGGUGUGGGUAGCGGAGAAAUUCCAAUCGAACCUGGAGAUAGCUGGUUCUCCCCGAAAUAGCUUUAGGGCUAGCCUUAAGUGUAAGAGUCUUGGAGGUAGAGCACUGAUUGGACUAGGGGUCCUCAUCGGAUUACCGAAUUCAGUCAAACUCCGAAUGCCAAUGACUUAUCCUUAGGAGUCAGACUGCGAGUGAUAAGAUCCGUAGUCAAAAGGGAAACAGCCCAGACCGCCAGCUAAGGUCCCAAAGUGUGUAUUAAGUGGAAAAGGAUGUGGAGUUGCUUAGACAACUAGGAUGUUGGCUUAGAAGCAGCCACCAUUUAAAGAGUGCGUAAUAGCUCACUAGUCGAGUGACUCUGCGCCGAAAAUGUACCGGGGCUAAAUACACCACCGAAGCUGCGGAUUGAUACCGAAUGGUAUCAGUGGUAGGGGAGCGUUCUAAGGACAGUGAAGUCAGACCGGAAGGACUGGUGGAGUGCUUAGAAGUGAGAAUGCCGGUAUGAGUAGCGAAAGACGGGUGAGAAUCCCGUCCACCGAAUGCCUAAGGUUUCCUGAGGAAGGCUCGUCCGCUCAGGGUUAGUCAGGACCUAAGCCGAGGCCGACAGGCGUAGGCGAUGGACAACAGGUUGAUAUUCCUGUACCACCUCUUUAUCGUUUGAGCAAUGGAGGGACGCAGAAGGAUAGAAGAAGCGUGCGAUUGGUUGUGCACGUCCAAGCAGUUAGGCUGAUAAGUAGGCAAAUCCGCUUAUCGUAAAGGCUGAGCUGUGAUGGGGAAGCUCCUUAUGGAGCGAAGUCUUUGAUUCCCCGCUGCCAAGAAAAGCUUCUAGCGAGAUAAAAGGUGCCUGUACCGCAAACCGACACAGGUAGGCGAGGAGAGAAUCCUAAGGUGUGCGAGAGAACUCUGGUUAAGGAACUCGGCAAAAUGACCCCGUAACUUCGGGAGAAGGGGUGCUUUCUUAACGGAAAGCCGCAGUGAAUAGGCCCAAGCGACUGUUUAGCAAAAACACAGCUCUCUGCGAAGCCGUAAGGCGAAGUAUAGGGGGUGACACCUGCCCGGUGCUGGAAGGUUAAGGAGAGGGGUUAGCGUAAGCGAAGCUCUGAACUGAAGCCCCAGUAAACGGCGGCCGUAACUAUAACGGUCCUAAGGUAGCGAAAUUCCUUGUCGGGUAAGUUCCGACCCGCACGAAAGGUGUAACGAUUUGGGCACUGUCUCAACCAGAGACUCGGUGAAAUUAUAGUACCUGUGAAGAUGCAGGUUACCCGCGACAGGACGGAAAGACCCCGUGGAGCUUUACUGUAGCCUGAUAUUGAAUUUUGGUACAGUUUGUACAGGAUAGGCGGGAGCCUUUGAAACCGGAGCGCUAGCUUCGGUGGAGGCGCUGGUGGGAUACCGCCCUGACUGUAUUGAAAUUCUAACCUACGGGUCUUAUCGACCCGGGAGACAGUGUCAGGUGGGCAGUUUGACUGGGGCGGUCGCCUCCUAAAGUGUAACGGAGGCGCCCAAAGGUUCCCUCAGAAUGGUUGGAAAUCAUUCGUAGAGUGCAAAGGCAUAAGGGAGCUUGACUGCGAGACCUACAAGUCGAGCAGGGACGAAAGUCGGGCUUAGUGAUCCGGUGGUUCCGCAUGGAAGGGCCAUCGCUCAACGGAUAAAAGCUACCCCGGGGAUAACAGGCUUAUCUCCCCCAAGAGUCCACAUCGACGGGGAGGUUUGGCACCUCGAUGUCGGCUCAUCGCAUCCUGGGGCUGUAGUCGGUCCCAAGGGUUGGGCUGUUCGCCCAUUAAAGCGGUACGCGAGCUGGGUUCAGAACGUCGUGAGACAGUUCGGUCCCUAUCCGUCGUGGGCGUAGGAAAUUUGAGAGGAGCUGUCCUUAGUACGAGAGGACCGGGAUGGACGCACCGCUGGUGUACCAGUUGUUCUGCCAAGGGCAUAGCUGGGUAGCUAUGUGCGGAAGGGAUAAGUGCUGAAAGCAUCUAAGCAUGAAGCCCCCCUCAAGAUGAGAUUUCCCAUAGCGUAAGCUAGUAAGAUCCCUGAAAGAUGAUCAGGUUGAUAGGUUCGAGGUGGAAGCAUGGUGACAUGUGGAGCUGACGAAUACUAAUAGAUCGAGGACUUAACCAUAUAA
RNAcentral lists this ribosomal RNA (2930 nucleotides) under Bacillus paranthracis. RNAcentral's name for it is "23S ribosomal RNA". It matches the Rfam family "Bacterial large subunit ribosomal RNA". Lineage: Bacteria; Bacillati; Bacillota; Bacilli; Caryophanales; Bacillaceae. The record is from RNAcentral.